UGGAGAGGGACACUAAGGACUGCUCCUGGAUCUUGUUUAAACACAAGGAGCUGGGUUUCGAAGACUCCACGAGGGACUUUAGGACCCUACGUUACUUAUCGACAUAAAAAGAGGAGAAGAUAAAGCCUCACAAUUCUUCCUCCCACUUCCUCAGGCCCUUCGUAAAGGCGUGACCUGCUUCAAGAAACACGAUAUUUGAAAAUAUGAAAUCUACACAUCGAGACACAUUAAGAGUGACUGUUCG
RNAcentral lists this long non-coding RNA (244 nucleotides) under Homo sapiens (human). RNAcentral describes it as "HSALNT0207172". Lineage: Eukaryota; Metazoa; Chordata; Mammalia; Primates; Hominidae. The record is from RNAcentral.